Molecule: ribosomal RNA, 493 nt
Filed under: uncultured bacterium
Lineage: Bacteria
Description: partial 16S ribosomal RNA
Rfam family: Bacterial small subunit ribosomal RNA
Source: RNAcentral
AGUGAACGCUGGCGGUAGGCCUAACACAUGCAAGUCGAACGGCAGCACAGUAAGAGCUUGCUCUUACGGGUGGCGAGUGGCGGACGGGUGAGGAAUACAGCGGAAUCUACUUUUUCGUGGGGGAUAACGUAGGGAAACUUACGCUAAUACCUCAUACGACCUACGGGUGAAAGCAGGGGAUCUUCGGACCUUGCGCGAUUGAAUGAGCCGGUGUCGGAUUAGCUAGGUGGCGAGGGAAAGGCGCACCAAGGCGACGAUACAUAGCUGGUCUGAGAGGAUGAUCUGCCACACGGGGACGGAGACACGCCCCAAACUCCUACGCGAGGCAGCAGGAGGGAAUCUUCGGCAAUGGACGAAAGUCUGACCGAUCAACGCCGCGGGAGUGAAGAAGGUGUUCGGAUCGUAAAACUCUUUGGGUAGAGAAGAACGGUGGUGUAAGUGGAAAGCUCAUCAAGUGACGGUAACUACCCAGAAAGGGACGGCUAACUACGUG